Long non-coding RNA from Centropristis striata (black sea bass), 1742 nucleotides. RefSeq lists it as uncharacterized. The record is from RefSeq and is a predicted model, not a curated record. Lineage: Eukaryota; Metazoa; Chordata; Actinopteri; Perciformes; Serranidae. The transcript is spliced from 3 exons.
UGGUCGCGAGCACAUGGAAGUGAGGUCGAGAUUUGUGUCUGUGAAACGCGACUGAUCAUCAGAAAAAAGGGAAUAUAAAAGCGAUAAAGCGGCAUCAGAAGCUCAGAGUAAAGCGGGCGGCUGGUGUUGCAGACCCUCAUGCAGACCCGAGUUUUCACUGCAGCUGUUGCACCCGGAGACGACUGGAGAUACUGAUCUGAAUGGGAAGGAUGCAAAGAGGACACAGAUACACCCUGAAUGGGCCCCUGUGGUGAUCUACAUUGUGGUUGGGAAGUACCUAGUCUUACAACUGCCAUGCUGGUCUGCUUAAAGGGGCAGUGCUGAUCACUUUUAUGUGCAGUAUGUUUUCUUGUCAGGGAGUUUCGGUCACCUGUAGUUUGUCACCUGCAUUAAUCCCUGCAGUCUGUAAAUAAUCAGGAUGUCAAAUAGUCUCAAUGGAGUUGCAGGAGACUGAAAUACCCUUUUCUCACCAACAUAAGCACAUAUAUGGGGGUCAUUUAAAUGUGGGAAAACCUGUGCAACAGACUUCUUUCCCAUUGCCAGUACACAAAUAUGCCUCUCUGUUUUUUGUGUCAUGUUCCUGUUCCUCCUAAUAGUUUGGAAAAAUGCCCCAUUGGACCAAAAACCCAAUGAUCCAAUGACCAUGAAAUAGUUGUUGGAGUCCAUUUACUGCUGGGGUUUUACUACUACCAGACUUCCUUGACUUAUUGCUCAAUUUAACAGAUCUGAGUUCCCAGUUACAUAGAUGAUACUCCAAAAUCAUAACUUAACUUAAUAUGACUCCGAAAGAAGGACUCUGUUUGACAUCCCGAAACACAGCCAGUCAGCAUAUCCUCGCAACUUUUAGUUGAUUUCUGCUCUGCAAAACAUGACAAAUAUAUCACAAAUGUAAAACUGUAAAAAGUCUGUGUGAUGAGUUAAUUAAAUCAAGUUUUCAAAGUUUUCUACCAUUUGAGUACAACCUACAAUAACAUAUUGUUAAAUAUAACAGAGCUGACCUUACCAGUAAACAUCUACUCCUUCUAAAAGAUACGAUACGAUAAACCGACAUUAACUCAUGCAAAACAUGUUAGUGUAAAUCAGUAUUAAUUUCAGCUCCAUGAAAAGUGAAUGAACCUGAUGUUCGGCUGCCUGUCUGCCUGAACAACGGACUUUACACAUCUUUAUAGCUGCUGAUUUAUUCAACGUACUACAAGGAGUUUGUAGUUUGUAGACCUAUAGAAGCAAACUAGACCCUCAGCAAGAAUUAUGAGUAUUUCUAUACAGUCAGUUUAAAUACCUUUCACAGUGCCACUGAGUCGGAUUCUGUCAAAAUCAUAUGAAAUCUAAACUAGAACCUCCUUUGGCUCAGACUCCAGUGCCACAACUGCCGCUUUCCUACAAAGGCCAGAUGUUGGUGUGUUUUUAUCCAGUGGUAAAGUGGCUAUGUUGAUUUUUACUUCAUUCAUAUUUUCAUGCUUAAAAAGAAGGAAAAAGGAAGUCAAAUUUUCCCAACUUGACAAACUGCUUGGGUCAUGAGAAUUUUGGACCAGAGUACAUUGAUAAUUCAUGAUUUAGUGUAAAUGAAGUCAAACCACAGCGAGGUGAAAGAGGAAUGGAAUUUGUGUUGCAAUACUUUAUAAAACCGCAUAAAUUUUUACUUCAGCGUGCACGCUCUGUGUGUCUUUCCUCUUAGUCUACACUGUUGUAUGUUUUGAAAAAGCUGCACACUUGUCUGAAUAAAUCUUUCACCCUGGCAGAUG